UUUGAGUAUGAGCAUAUUGGGCCGGACCCGAAAGAAGGUGAACUAUGCCUGUAUAGGGUAAAGCCAGAGGAAACUCUGGUGGAGGCUCGCAGCGGUUCUGACGUGCAAAUCGAUCGUCAAAUAUGGGCAUGGGGGCGAAAGACUAAUCGAACCUUCUAGUAGCUGGUUUCCGCCGAAGUUUCCCUCAGGAUAGCAGUGUUGAAUUCUCAGUUUUAUGAGGUAAAGCGAAUGAUUAGGGACCGGGGGCGCUAUCAGCCUUAAUCCAUUCUCAAACCUUAAAUAUGUAAGAAGCCCCUGUUACUUAAUUGAACUGGGCAUUUGAACGUAUCAACACUAGUGGGCCCUUUUUGGUAAGCAGACCUGGCGAUGCGGGCUGCACCGAUCGCGGGGAUAAGGUGCCGCAGUGGACGCUCAUCAGACACCCCAAAAGGUGUUAUCACAUCUUGAC
This 448-nucleotide ribosomal RNA is filed under the name Lomentospora prolificans. Its description in RNAcentral is "Scedosporium prolificans Eukaryotic large subunit ribosomal RNA". It matches the Rfam family "Eukaryotic large subunit ribosomal RNA", at positions 789 to 1238 of the family's 3401-position model. Lineage: Eukaryota; Fungi; Ascomycota; Sordariomycetes; Microascales; Microascaceae. The record is from Rfam by way of RNAcentral.